RNAcentral lists this ribosomal RNA (2108 nucleotides) under Saltonia incerta. Its description in RNAcentral is "eukaryotic LSU rRNA". It matches the Rfam family "Eukaryotic large subunit ribosomal RNA", at positions 52 to 1892 of the family's 3401-position model. The record is from RNAcentral. Lineage: Eukaryota; Metazoa; Arthropoda; Arachnida; Araneae; Dictynidae.
GGAGGAAAAGAAACCAACUGGGAUUCCCCUAGUAACGGCGAGUGAACAGGGAAGAGUCCAGCGCCGAAUCCCCGUUUUCGGGGAAAUGUGGCGUUAAAGAGCGCGCGUGCCGACGCCGCUGGCGUGCCGUAAGUCCUCUUGACCGAGGCUUCCCGGAGCGGGUGAGAGGCCCGUGUCGGCGAGCCGCGCGUCGGAUGCGCGUUCUGGGGAGUCGGGUUGCUUGGGAGUGCAGCCCUAAGCGGGUGGUAGACUCCACCUAAGGCUAAAUACCGCCGCGAGACCGAUAGCGAACAAGUACCGUGAGGGAAAGUUGCAAAGAACUUUGAAGAGAGAGUUCAAGAGUGCGUGAAACUGCUCAGAGGCAAACGGACGGGGUCUCGAAAUCCUGUGUCGGGAGGAUUCAGCUGCGAGGGCUCGUUGGGAUCGCCGCCUCGACGUCUCGCCUAAGAGGUCGUCGGCGACGCGUUCGGCUUCUCGUUGCGCAUUUUCUCCCGUCUCGAGGACGCUGCAACCGGUCUGGUAUGGUAAACGACUCUCGGAUCGCGGGUGUCGAAGGUGGUCGUCUGCCCGUCUCGACGGGCAGAGGGUGAUUAUAGCCUACCCGUCGUGGAGAAGUCGACAGACCGUGGUGACGCCGGCCCGAACGGGCAGUAGCGCCUCCUGUCGUGCGAGACCGACCGACGCAGGCGCGUCGUCCGAGGAGCGUCGCACGCUGCGAGGCGUGGACGCGUCUUCGAAGACCGCCGCUAGCGACGGCGUACUCGCGGGAGGCUCGCGGUUUGCAGCGCGACCGUCGGAUUCCCGUCCGACCCGUCUUGAAACACGGACCAAGGAGUCUAACAUGUGCGCGAGUCGGGGGGUCUCGAACAGGCCCAGAGGCGCAGAGAAAUCGACAAAGUCGGGAUCCCCGCGUCGUCGCGGGGCGCACCGACAGCCCGUCCCGACCGCUCGUCGGCGGAACGGAGCUAGAGCGCACACGUUGGGACCCGAAAGAUGGUGAUCUACGCCUGGACAGGACGAAGCCAGAGGAAACUCUGGUGGAGGUCCGCAGCGGUUCUGACGUGCAAAUCGAUCGUCAGAUCCGGGUAUAGGGGCGAAAGACUAAUCGAACCGUCUAGUAGCUGGUUCCCUCCGAAGUUUCCCUCAGGAUAGCUGGCGCUCGAGGAGACUCAGUCUCAUCCGGUAAAGCGAAUGAUUAGAGGCCGCGGGGUCGAAACGACCUCGACCUAUUCUCAAACUUUAAAUGGGUGAGAGGUCCGCCUUGCUCGAUCGAAGGCCGGACGGAAAGGAUGAGAGUGCCCAGUGGGCCACUUUUGGUAAGCAGAACUGGCGCUGUGGGAUGAACCAAACGUCGGGUCAAGGCGUCCGAUGCGCGACGCUCAUGAGAUCCCAAGAAAGGUGUUGGUCGCUAGAGACAGCAGGACGGUGACCAUGGAAGUCGGCAUCCGCCAAGGAGUGUGUAACAACUCACCUGCCGAAGCGACUAGCCCUGAAAAUGGAUGACGCUCAAGCGUCGAGCCCAUACCCGACCGUCGAGGCAGAGCUCGGAGAGAGAGUUACGCCUCGACGAGUAGGAGGGUCGCGACGGAGAGCGGAGAAGGUCGGGGCGCGAGCCCGGCUGGAGCCUCCGUCGGUGCAGAUCUUGGUGGUAGUAGCAAAUACUCGAGCGAGAACCUCGAGGACUGAAGUGGAGAAGGGUUCCAUGUGAACAGCAGUUGGACAUGGGUGAGUCGGCCCUGAGGCAUCGGCGAAAGCCGUUCCGAAGCGGGGCGUCCGUCCCGCAGCAGCCGAAAGGGAACGGGGUCAAAGUUCCCCGACCCGUCCACGGAGACGGUGCUCUCCGGGGCACCAGUGCGGCGACGCGACCGAACUCGGAGACGUCGACGGAGGACCCGGGGAAGAGUUGUCUUUUCUUUGUAAGGGUUCGCUUCCCUGGAAUCGGAUCGUCCGGAGAUAGGGAGGCCGUUCCCGUAAUGGCACCGCGGUUCCUGCGGUGUCCGGUACGCCUCCGUCGGCCCUUGAAAAUCCGAGGGAGACGGUGUGAUUUUCGUGACGGACCGUACCCAUAUCCGCAGCAGGUCUCCGAGGUGAACAGCCUCUAGUCGAUA